RNAcentral lists this ribosomal RNA (301 nucleotides) under uncultured bacterium. RNAcentral describes it as "partial 16S ribosomal RNA". It matches the Rfam family "Bacterial small subunit ribosomal RNA", at positions 509 to 807 of the family's 1533-position model. The record is from RNAcentral.
CAGCAGCCGCGGUAAUACGAAGGGUGCAAGCGUUAAUCGGAAUUACUGGGCGUAAAGCGUGCGUAGGCGGUGAGUUAAGUCUGCUGUGAAAUCCCCGGGCUCAACCUGGGAAUGGCAGUGGAUACUGGGUCACUAGAGUGUGGUAGAGGAUAGUGGAAUUUCCGGUGUAGCAGUGAAAUGCGUAGAGAUCGGAAGGAACAUCUGUGGCGAAGGCGACUAUCUGGGCCAACACUGACACUGAGGCACGAAAGCGUGGGGAGCAAACAGGAUUAGAUACCCCCGUAGUCCCUGUCUCUUAUAC